AUUGAACGCUGGCGGCAGGCCUAACACAUGCAAGUCGAACGGUAACAGGAAGAAGCUUGCUUCUUUGCUGACGAGUGGCGGACGGGUGAGUAAUGUCUGGGAAACUGCCUGAUGGAGGGGGAUAACUACUGGAAACGGUAGCUAAUACCGCAUAACGUCGCAAGACCAAAGAGGGGGACCUUCUGGCCUCUUGCCAUCGGAUGUGCCCAGAUGGGAUUAGCUAGUAGGUGGGGUAACGGCUCACCUAGGCGACGAUCCCUAGCUGGUCUGAGAGGAUGACCAGCCACACUGGAACUGAGACACGGUCCAGACUCCUACGGGAGGCAGCAGUGGGGAAUAUUGCACAAUGGGCGCAAGCCUGAUGCAGCCAUGCCGCGUGUAUGAAGAAGGCCUUCGGGUUGUAAAGUACUUUCAGCGGGGAGGAAGGGAGUAAAGUUAAUACCUUGGCUCAUUGACGUUACCCGCAGAAGAAGCACCGGCUAACUCCGUG
RNAcentral lists this ribosomal RNA (490 nucleotides) under uncultured bacterium. RNAcentral's name for it is "partial 16S ribosomal RNA". It matches the Rfam family "Bacterial small subunit ribosomal RNA", at positions 30 to 507 of the family's 1533-position model. The record is from RNAcentral.